AUUUUUUUCAUGUAAUGAAAGUGAAAGGGUCUUAAAAAGGGUUUAAUUUGUCCCUCACUGUCCGUAUCUAUUUAAACUUAUCAGUUUGUCACCGAUGCUGUAAAAUCGUCCCACAUUCGCGUUCAUUGUGUGGAAAAGAGCAAUCUUCAUUCCUCGUGAUUUCUCCUUUUGUAUUCAAUGCAAGAAAGAACGUCAUUCGGUUUGGGAACAACCAGAUGCUACUUCUGAUAUCGCCGAACUUGUCUAUGUCCAAAACACUCGGGCCCUGUGGCCUGCCAAUGAGAGUACCCACGCUGAUUUGAUGCCCCCCCAACUCACGGAAGGUCGCAGUGGGCCAACAACUGUGACUGCUGCCCGCUGCACCCCACUGGCAUGCCCAUCUCCCCAUGGUGCCCGGAGAGAUGCCCUCUACUCUCACCCUGCCCAGACACGCUGGCAUGCUGAGCCAUUCUUGGAAGCAAGAAGAGACAGGCUUGCCAGCUUACUUUUCCCACAGGGUGUUGCUUUCUCUCCAACAACUGUGGAAUGAAACAAAGCAGUGGGAGAAGAGCGAGAGCAGCCCACACAGCUCCUGGGUGGUAAAGGCAGUGGUGUUUCUUUCUACGGCAUGUUGCCAUGGUUGACGAGUAGCUUUUCAAUCAUUAUAAGCUAUGACACAUCAUGUGGCUUGUUGAUCAAACGACGUCUCUUUUUCUUUCCGGUUCUCAGUAACCUCCGCUGAUCUACAAUCCCUCAAUAGCUCCAUGUUCCAACAGCUCUCUGCACAAACUCAUCCAAAACAAAUGGAGGGUGCCGGUAAUGACAGAUAAAUGUGAUUAUUAUUACUUUCCAUCCCGGAUGAGGCAAAGAGAGCAACCAAAGAUUCUUGUUAUCGUCAGCUUCUUCCUCUAACAGAAAAUCCUGUGAUUUUCAUGGGGGUACGGUGUGUAAUAUCGACUCGCUUUGAUAGUGUGCUUUUUAAAUUGGAAAUGACCCAGGGAUAUAAGAAAUAAUCAGACAUGGAGCACUGGCACAGCCGCCACUGUUCCGUCAUGGCAGGACAGCAGGGACUUGGGGCUCAUUUGCUCUCAGCGAUUGUCAGCAGGUUUCUCAUAGCGAGCAACAGAGUCAAAUUCAGCCUCAAUUCUUAAACUUGUUUUUUCCAGUGGCCUUGCAAACAAGACUAACUCUCUCACUAUUUCUUCCAGCCUCACGGCAGCAGAGAACUUCCGAGAGUUUGGUGAAUCCUUCCACUUUCUUCUCUGCCACCCUUACAGUUCCAGAGGCCUUCUGGAAGCCUGAAGACUCCAAACACUUUCUUCCCAUUUCAGGCCCCCUUUCUCUUUUCCUUGCUCUGCUGUCUCACUGCAAUCCUCCAUGGACAUUUUGUCCAUGCAAAUGGCUCUUAUCAACUCUCGAGUACUCAGCAUUUCAAUCCAUCCACCCCCAGACAGUUCACUUCAUUUCAACUCACAUUUUCUGUGUUUUCAGGGUCAGUCAACCAGAAAACCAAUUAUUCAUUCUCCCUUUAUCACCUGAAUGAAAGGGAGAGGGGUUAAGGCCUGCAACCCUAGAGUCCUUUUUGGUAACACAGCAUCAGACCUCAACUCCUGCAAUGGCCCAUUACCGUAGAAUCGCUGUAUCGCUUACUGUCUUCAUCUUGUUGAAGAGCCAAAAUAAAUUAUCAUGGCAUUUGCGUCUUUAUCCCUCA
Molecule: long non-coding RNA, 1690 nt
Organism: Cyprinus carpio (common carp)
Lineage: Eukaryota; Metazoa; Chordata; Actinopteri; Cypriniformes; Cyprinidae
Source: Ensembl